GACGGAGGGUGCUAGCGUUGUUCGGAAUGACUGGGCGUAAAGGGCGCGUAGGCGGCCGGUUGCGUCGGAUGUGAAAGCCCGGGGCUCAACCCCGGAACGGCAUCCGAUACGGGCUGGCUUGAGACCGAGAGAGGUGAGUGGAAUACCCAGUGUAGAGGUGAAAUUCGUAGAUAUUGGGUGGAACACCGGUGGCGAAAGCGGCUCACUGGCUCGGUUCUGACGCUGAGGCGCGAAAGCGUGGGUAGCAAACAGG
This 253-nucleotide ribosomal RNA is filed under the name uncultured bacterium. Its description in RNAcentral is "partial 16S ribosomal RNA". It matches the Rfam family "Bacterial small subunit ribosomal RNA", at positions 524 to 776 of the family's 1533-position model. The record is from RNAcentral.